GGGCCGACCGAGUGAUCGAAAGAAAGCGUUUGAUGAAACGACUUCCUUCCUUUUUCCAGCGAGGAGGAGACGACGCGCUACUGGAGGCUGCUGCAGCACGCCCCUCCCCCGCCGCUGGUCGCAUUCGUACUUCCACUUUUAGUGCUGCUACCACUACUCUUUUCAUUUCCGGAACUCGCGCUUCACUGGCGACCGAACCCUUCCGGGAGACGACGGAUGAGAGAGGGAGACGAGAGAAGGGAACGAGCAGUGACUACUCGCGACCGACCCCCACCCCUCGACCUCUCGCCCCCGCGGCCGCCGAACGAGAAAGCGGGAGAGACUCCUUAGACCCCUUAGGCGCCGGCGCUAGCCUCCGGAGACGAGGGCGAGCCUCGGGUGGG
RNAcentral lists this ribosomal RNA (383 nucleotides) under Armadillo officinalis (oak-woodland pillbug). RNAcentral describes it as "partial small subunit ribosomal RNA". Lineage: Eukaryota; Metazoa; Arthropoda; Malacostraca; Isopoda; Armadillidae. The record is from RNAcentral.